RNAcentral lists this ribosomal RNA (321 nucleotides) under Triticum aestivum (bread wheat). RNAcentral's name for it is "partial small subunit ribosomal RNA". Lineage: Eukaryota; Viridiplantae; Streptophyta; Magnoliopsida; Poales; Poaceae. The record is from RNAcentral.
AUGAGUCGACCUGAUGGGAUCAACAUCCCCGACAACAAGUUCUACCUUAGAGAUGUUGGCUAUGCAUGUCGGCCGGGUGUUUUUCCACCCUUCAGGAAAACCAGGUACCAUCUCAACGAGUUCUCUGGUAGAAACUAUCCUAGGACAGCACAGGAGCUAUUUAAUCUCAGACACUCCGGCCUUAGAGUAACUGUUGAGAGGGCAUUUGGAGCUAUGAAGAAUAGAUUUAAGAUCCUGGAUCAGAAGCCAUUCCACCCAUACUCCACUGAGGUUAAGCUUGCUCUUGCUUGUUGCAUUCUACAUAACUGGAUCCUCCAGUAG